GAUGAACGCUAGCUACAGGCUUAACACAUGCAAGUCGAGGGGAAACGACAUCGAAAGCUUGCUUUUGAUGGGCGUCGACCGGCGCACGGGUGAGCAACGCGUAUCCAACCUGCCCAUCACUUGGGAAUAACCUUGCGAAAGUAAGACUAAUACCCAAUGACAUCCCACGAAGACAUCUGAAUGGGAUUAAAGAUUUAUCGGUGAUGGAUGGGGAUGCGUCUGAUUAGCUUGUUGGCGGGGUAACGGCCCACCAAGGCAACGAUCAGUAGGGGUUCUGAGAGGAAGGUCCCCCACAUUGGAACUGAGACACGGUCCAAACUCCUACGGGAGGCAGCAGUGAGGAAUAUUGGUCAAUGGGCGAGAGCCUGAACCAGCCAAGUAGCGUGCAGGAUGACGGCCCUAUGGGUUGUAAACUGCUUUUAUAAGGGAAUAAAGUGGGUCUCGUGAGACUUUUUGCAUGUACCUUAUGAAUAAGGACCGGCUAAUUCCGUG
RNAcentral lists this ribosomal RNA (492 nucleotides) under uncultured bacterium. RNAcentral's name for it is "partial 16S ribosomal RNA". It matches the Rfam family "Bacterial small subunit ribosomal RNA", at positions 28 to 507 of the family's 1533-position model. The record is from RNAcentral.